Molecule: ribosomal RNA, 437 nt
Filed under: uncultured Clostridium sp.
Lineage: Bacteria; Bacillati; Bacillota; Clostridia; Eubacteriales; Clostridiaceae
Description: partial 16S ribosomal RNA
Rfam family: Bacterial small subunit ribosomal RNA
Source: RNAcentral
ACGGAAGGCAGCAGUGGGGAAUAUUGGGCAAUGGGCGAAAGCCUGACCCAGCAACGCCGCGUGAAGGAAGAAGGCCUUCGGGUUGUAAACUUCUUUUAUCAGGGACGAAGAACGUGACGGUACCUGAUGAAUAAGCCACGGCUAACUACGUGCCAGCAGCCGCGGUAAUACGUAGGUGGCGAGCGUUAUCCGGAUUUACUGGGUGUAAAGGGCGCGUAGGCGGGGAUGCAAGUCAGAUGUGAAAUCUAUGGGCUCAACCCAUAAACUGCAUUUGAAACUGUAUCUCUUGAGUGCCGGAGAGGUAGAUGGAAUUCCUAGUGUAGCGGUGAAAUGCGUAGAUAUUAGGAGGAACACCAGUGGCGAAGGCGAUCUACUGGACGAUAACUGACGCUGAGGCGCGAAAGCGUGGGGAGCAAACAGGAUUAGAUACCCUGGUA